Molecule: transfer RNA, 76 nt
Filed under: Acidobacteriota bacterium
Lineage: Bacteria; Pseudomonadati; Acidobacteriota
Also listed under: 4 other names
Description: Acidobacteria bacterium tRNA-Gly
Rfam family: tRNA
About the family: Transfer RNA (tRNA) molecules are approximately 80 nucleotides in length. Their secondary structure includes four short double-helical elements and three loops (D, anti-codon, and T loops).
Source: RNAcentral
GCGGAAGUAGCUCAGUUGGUAGAGCGCAACCUUGCCAAGGUUGAGGUCGCGGGUUCGAAUCCCGUCUUCCGCUCCA